RNA transcript from Carassius auratus (goldfish), 1757 nucleotides. It is a transcript of the gene named protein lifeguard 3-like, with no coding region annotated. The record is from RefSeq and is a predicted model, not a curated record. NCBI's taxonomy places the organism in Eukaryota, Metazoa, Chordata, Actinopteri, Cypriniformes, Cyprinidae. The transcript is spliced from 11 exons.
AGUUCUUUACGUAGAGCAGAACAAGUUCACGCAGUCCCGUUGCUGAAGUCACAGCAAACGUGGGUUAUCACAAUGUCAAAGUCAGAUCCCCCUCCAAGUUAUGAAGAGUCAAGAGAACAGCAGCAUGGAAACUAUCCAUUCCCUCCCUACGGGUAUCCAGCCCAGCCAAGGGUGUACACCGGCCCGGGACAGCCUGGCAUACACCCCCAGGCAGGGCUUUGGCAGGGCCCUGGAUACUACCCUUCAGCAAUGCCAUCUAUGAUGCCGUCCUUUAUAACACCAGGGAUAUUUUCCUCCAACCUAAUAGAUGUGGAGGGCAUUUCAGCAACUGGUGUAUGGGACAGCAUGAGUGUUCGACAUGCCUUCAUUAGAAAGGUUUACCUUAUUUUAGCCGUCCAGCUUUUUAUCACCGCUUCAAUCAUUGCGGUGUUUACAUCUGUUGAGCCUGUGCGUCUUUUUGUGGUCCAGAAUCCUGCCAUUUAUUGGGCAUCAUUCCCGGUGUAUCUUGUUACUUACCUUAUGCUGGUUUGCUGUGAGGGGCCGAGGAGACGUCAUCCAUGGAAUUUAAUACUCCUGUUCGUUUUUACCCUUACAUUAUCUUACAUGACAGGAACAAUAUCAAGUUAUUUUGACACCAAAGCUGUGUUCCUAGCCCUGGGGAUCACAGCAAUAGUGUGUAUUAUCGUCACAAUCUUCUGUUUUCAAACCAAGGUAAGCCCUGCAGUGGCAGAACCCACGGCUCUGAUCGACCGGUCGCUGGUGAAUGCCACUUUGUUCCUGGUGUAAAAUAACCCCAUUGUAUUUGAUUACAAUGAUCGACUGUCUCUUUUUAAACAUUCAUGGCAUACUGAUAGAUGUUUCAUGCUUAGUUGAGACAAAAACCCAACAAGUUUGUGUGUGUCCUUUGUUUUUUAAUAAAUACAUUUUUGCUUUUGUGUAAUAUAUUAUCCCCAUUUUACUUGUGAAAUCUACUUUUUUUUUUACAUUCAGCACAUAUUACAGUUUGCGACUGCUGAGGAUAUUUUUGUUUUGUCUUCUGCAUUUGAUCAGGUUGACUUCACCUCUUGUACAGGUCUGCUCUGUGCCCUUUGUGUGGUUCUUCUGGUGAUCGGCAUCAUCACAUCCAUUGUACUCUCCUUUCAGUAUGUGCCGUGGCUGAAUAUGCUGUAUGGUGCUUGUGGAGCAAUAGUCUUUACCUUGUUUUUGGCUUACCACACUCAGUUGCUCAUUGGAAACCGAGCGAACACCAUCAGCCCUGACGAAUAUGUCUUCGGAGCUCUUUCUCUCUAUGUUGAUAUCGUCCAGAUCUUCAUCUUCCUCUUGCACAUCACAGGAGGCUCUUCAGAGUAAACAGACUAAUGCGGAUGAGCAUUUCUGUCUCAAUCACCGAUCUCUCUUUGAGCUUAUCUGGACUUCUUCAAUCACACGCAUCUCAAAUAUCAUCUCCAACACUGUUAUAAACAUGAUUUUGUUAUGUUACUUUAUUUUGUUCUACGGAGGUUGCUCAUUCUAAGUUGAUUGUUACUUUAUUUUUAAUAAGCACUAUAUUCAUUUAUUUUUACUUUCCACCUGUUUAUUUGCAUUUUGAAGAACCUGCUGUAAAAGAUCUAAAACAGCUGCACUGUGAUUUGAUGAUAUCAAUAUUUAGUCUAUAACCUAAAGGGAAAUAAAAUUAAGAGAAACAGUAAACAAAUUCAUGAUGACUAUUGGCCAUAGUCAUGGGGAAGUCAUGGCCUAGUGGUUAGAGAGUAUGACUC